RNAcentral lists this long non-coding RNA (18792 nucleotides) under Ananas comosus (pineapple). RNAcentral's name for it is "long non-coding RNA (ACOM_LNC004177)". Lineage: Eukaryota; Viridiplantae; Streptophyta; Magnoliopsida; Poales; Bromeliaceae. The record is from RNAcentral.
CAAAAAAAAAGUUCACCUGGUGUACCACGUGUUAAUACAGUCCUUGUUCCGCAAUUUUUCGGCACGAGAUUUUCGUUUUCAGCUCGAAGUCCGCUCAGUUCGAGCGAAAAAUAAAAACACUUUGUUUUCUGAGAAUUUGUAAAAAAAAAAAAAAAAUUAUAAAAAUUUUUUACAGAUAAUCAAAUAAUAAAAUAUAAUUUUUCAACAAAAAAAUAUUUUUCAGAGCAAUUUAAGGAGGGAUCCAAGCACGCCCUAAAGAAAAACAUUAUGGAAGAGGUGUGCGUAUGCGUCGCAAUCUCGCGUCCGUACGAUGUCCGUCGUAACAACGUUUCUUUAUGGGCGAUGGACGGAGGUUUGGUGGCCAAACGUCGAAUCGCAUUCAAUGGCCCCACCCUCUCCUUCUUAUUUAUUUAUUUAUAAUUUUUUUAGGUAAACUUUAAAUAUUACUCCUGUUACUUCGCAUUUUCUCACGUUAAUAUUUUAUGAUUUAAAAUGUAUAAUUUAGUAUCUUUUGAUUUUUUUUUUUUUUUUAUCGGCUCUUAUUUUAACAUUUCGUUAAAUUAUAUAUAAAAAACUUCAGAUAUCUCCACUUAGGUUUAUCGAAUAUUCACUUUAGUAUUUUUUAGUUUUAACUUUGUUACUGAUUUAACGAAAAAAAUUAAUAAAGAAGAUAAUAAAAAAAAUGAAACUACGGGUGCUAAAUUGACACACUUUAAACCGGUACUAAAAUAAAAAAAAAAGUGCGAAACUAUUAGGGUGGUAUUUAAAGUUUUUCCUUCUUUUUAUUAAUCGAGCAUGCUCCUUUUUUCUUUCAUCACGACCACCCGAUCCGGUGCGGAAGAAUCCAACGGUCCGAUAAUCUCGCAUAGUCGUGUCGAGGGGCUUUGGCAUAGGGAUACAAAUUGGGCGGAUCAGGGGGAGGGAGGGUUUUCUUGACCUCCCACUCCACUUCUUAUCGAAGCCGGAUGAAUUCGGGACAAAUUAUUUUUCAUUUUAGUUUUAGCUUUUACUUAUCGUCCCAUUCGGAGCGGAUCAGGACGGAAGCGAAUUUUUAACGGAGGAUUGAAGGAGUAAAAGGAUCUUCCGCCUUCCAUUCUAUUGCUUAGCGGAUCGGAGCGGAUUAGGAACAAAUUAUAUAUUUUUAUAUUUUUUAUUAUCACUUACCACCAUCCCAUUCGGAACGAUUUGGAGUAAAAACUCCACCAACCCAGAUCUAUUUGCAUCUCUGCUUCGGCGUGGCUCGCGAUGCUUCGAAUCUCGGCCCGUGUAGAUACGCGAAUCUUUUAACUUAAACCCUAAACCAGAUUCUAAUCGGAAAUAGAGCCGUUAAUUCUAUGUACUCCUAUAAAUUUUUGUGGGAAUAAAUCUAAUAUAUAUAAAAUUAUUAAAAAUAUAAAAUUUAUCUAAAUUAUAGAUCAUUAUUCAUAAUAUAAUUUUAAAAUUUUAAUUUUACUAUUUAAUUUUUUAAUUUGUUUUGAUUUAAAUCGACCAACAGUAUUUUAACUUUAAAGUUCAAGCUAGUUACUUAUUUUAAUAAAUUUAUAGCACUUACGAGGGUUGCAAAAAAUAUGCUAACUAAACCAAUAAAGAUAAACAAUAUAUUCAAAUUUUAAAAUCAAACUGACAUUGAGUUAUUCAAAUCAAACAAAUUGAAAAAUUGGUUAGUAAUCAAAAUUUUGAAAUAUUAGAUAGCGAAAUCAAAAUGGUCAAUAGUUUAAGUAAAUUCGGUAUAUUUUUACGAUCUUCAAAAUUUUAUGUGUUUCAUGUUUGCUUAUUUAUCUUAUUAAUUUUUUUACUAAGUGUUUUAUAAAAAAAAAUAAUAAAUUUAUGGAUAUGAGAAUGUAGAAUUUACAGCCUAAUAAGUCAUGUACAAGUAGCAUUUUUCUAAAAAAAAAAAAGAAAUAUAAAAUGAAUUCUACUACUUUUGCUUGUUUGAGAAUAAGUGCUUAAAUUUUAGUUUUUCUUUUUUAUAAAUGUGCAUUUGAACUUUCAAUUUUGAUAUUAGACCAUCUAUACUUUAUCAGAUAUAUAAUUUAGUAGAUUUAUCACCUUAAUCAAAAUUACUAACUAUACAACUAUUUUGAUUUCAUGUCGUGUAUAUAAUUCUGUGAGAUUUUAAAAUAUAAAAAAAUUAUUUUUAGCUUUCAAAUUUAAUAAUUCAGCAUGAUGAUCAGCAGAUCUUCGAUUCUCCUUAUUUGUAGGUAAAAAUAUAUAAAACUUGUCUCAACUUUCACCCUUUUGGAUCCAAUUACCUAAUCUUUAAAAAAAUUUAUUUAAUUUUACUAUCUCACAUUUUAAUUUAUUUGAUUUGAGCCAAUUAUGACUUUUUAUUUUUAAAAUUUUGAAUGCAUCAUUUAUCUGUGGGUUUAAUUACUAUAUUUUAUGUAAUUUAAUUACACAGCAAUAAAUUCAUUAAAAUAAACGAUUAGUUUAAAUUUUGUAUCCGAAAAACAAUCAAAUUAUUUAAAUCAAACAAAUUGAAGGAUUAAAUAUUAAAAAUUAAAACUUUACAAGAUUGGGUAAUCGAAUCAAAAUAGUUUAUAAUUUAGAUAAAUUUUAUACAAUUUAAUUUACCUCAUUUUAAUACAUAAUAAAAUAGAAAAAAUAAUUCCUUUUUGUGUUUUAAAGCUUCAUAAAAUUAUAAUUGAUCACAACCUUCAUAAAAUUUUAAAUGAGCAGCAGGAUUGUCCGGUACACUUGUAAGACCACAAGCACUAUAUAUCCAUCUUUUUAAUUAAAUGAUUUUACUGUCGUGUACGUUUCAUCGGACAUAUAGCAUUUAUGAUUUGGUUCAAUUCAAUCGUAUUAGCGAAAACAAAAUUGAAAUGCAUUUUAUUAGCUUUCAAAAUGAUUGAAUCGAUACGAAUUCAUUGCGAGCGAAAAUGAAGUUGCACUGUGAAUGCAACUUUCGUACCUGAAUUACUAUAUCUGUAUGCAUUAUAGUACUUUCUAGGAGGCGAUAUUGUACGUAAGUAAAAUAAACUUUUAGUAAGUUUGAAAAUAACUAUUCAACCGACUGUCCCUAGAGCAACUGGCAAACAGUUUAGUGGUUGAUAUUCGAAACCCAAGUUCGAAUCCUAGUUGACUAGUUAAUUCACAUUUCCAGCUAAGUUUAUUUCUAAAUGAAAUAAACGAAGCGGGUAGCGUGUUACCUAUCUCUCUCAAAAAAAAAAAAGAAGAAGAAAAUAACUAUUCAAGCUUUAGAAAUUUUGAUUUUUCACUAUCCAUUUUUUUAGUUUUUUUAUUUGGUUUCUAAAACAUUAUUAUCAACAGCUAGUUCAUCCGAACAUUUGUGCACCAUACUUUUAUUCAUUUCUUUUGAUUUAUUCCAACCAUUUUAUAUUUUAGUAUAAAACUUGCAAGGUGAUUGAAUAUUAAUCAAAUGGGUACUCGGUGUAGGAAUAUAUGUGUGGAUGCACUAAAUACAGAAAAAAAAAAAAGAAUUGAAAAUGAAUCAAACCAAAUAAAUCGAAACAUUAUGUAGUAAAAUCAACUUUUUUUAAGAUUAGAUAGUUACUUCAAAUAAACAUAAAAUUCAGUUAGUUCAUAUGUUUUUAUCUUAUUUUUAUGGCUUUGUAGUCGACCUAGAUUGAAUCUAAACAUAACUCUACGGGAGUGUUUGGCUGAAGAAUUUUUAUUUCGGAAAAGAGACAAAAAUCCUCAAGGGGAAUUAGCAAUUUUAGUGGAUAUAUACUCUCAUUUAUUUGUGUUCUAGAAGAUUGGACGAUAACGAAAAUAUAUAUAUAUAUAUAUAUAUAUAUAUAUAUAUAUAUAUAUAGAGUAGUGCUGCUGUGCUCUCAGGAGCACGGAGGCCAUUCUCCUGAGCCAUUUUCGAUGAUGGAGUUUCCAAAUCGACGAUUGGCUCCGUUAGACUUGAUCUAGCGUAUUUGAAGUUUCUAAAAAAUAAUUUUGCAAUUUUUCGAUAUCAUUUACCUAGCAAUCGAAAGGAUUCAAAAUCAAUAAUUUUUAACGGCUGAAAAUAAAAAUCCUAUAAAAAAAUGGUGAUAUAGCACUAAAAUUUUCGAUCAGAUAUUGAUUUUGUUGUAGAUAGUAUAAAAAAUUUUGUAUCAAAAUUUCAACUGAUUUGAAUACUUCUACACCGUUAAACUUGAAAACGGCAGAUAUCAACCAUUAAAAAUUAUGAAUUUUGAAUCCUUUCGAUCACUAGGUAAAUGAUAUCAAAAAAUCGCAAAAAAUUAUUUUCUAAAAACUUCAAAUGUGCUAGAUCAAAUCUAAUGGAGCCGAUCGUCGAUUCGAAAAUUUCAUCAUCGAAAACGGCUCAGGAGCAUGGAGGCCUCCGUGCUCCUGAGAGCACAGCAGCCCUACACAGGUGGUGCAAUAUGUGGGACACUAUGACAAUAAUAAUAUGUAUAUCUCUAUAGGAAAUUUUGAUCAUGUACAUAAUUAUGUUGUAUAACCCAUAUGUAGUUUAUUAAUCCCAAGAUAUCAAUUAACCUAAUUCAACCUCAUUCAACCCUCACUCAGGGUCUGGUCAAGUUCUCAAUUAAUUGCUCGUCUCCACUGACACAACAGAAUCUACGAUCCUAUUUGACUUUGUCCGUAUAAUUAGUGCACGUACAUGCAUUUUAAUGAUAGUAAUCCAUGCAUAUAUAUAUAUAUAUAUAUAUAUAUAUAUAUAUAUAUAUAUAUAGAGAGAGAGAGAGAGAGAGAGAGUAGGGCUACUAUACUAUUAUGAGUAUAGAACCCUUAGUACUCAUAAGUUGUUUUCAAUGUUAGGGUUUUCGAAUCAACGAUCCACGCCGUUAAACAUGAUCUAGAAUAUUUGAAACUUCUAGAAAAUAAAUUUCGUAAUUUUUCGAAAUCAUUAUAAAGUCCAUCAAGCGGGUAUAAAAUAAACGGUCAAAAUCGAACUACAAUAUCCUAAAAAUGGAUGAUCGGAUCUUUCAAUUUAAGAUCGGAGUUAUUGAUCUUUAUUUAGGUAGUGAAUAGAAUUUUCUAUCAAAACUUCAACCCAUUCCAAUUCUUUUACACCGUUAAACUAGCAAAUAUUUCAUACCGGCCGUUAAAAAUUGUCAAUUUUAUGAGCUUUUGAUCGUAGGGUAAAUGAUAUCGAAAAAUUAUAAAAUUUAAUUUUUAUAAGUUUUAAAUGCUCUAAAUAAUGUUUAACGGUAUGGAUCGUCGAUUCGAAAGCUCGAUCAUCGAAAACAACUUAUGAGUACGAAGUCGAACGUACUUAUAAGAGUAUAGUAGCCGGACUCUAUAUACAUAUUAUAUAAUGGAUUUGUGCAAUAAACAUAGUAGUAUUCAGUGUAACAGCAAAAAAGAACAAAUUUUAUUAACCAAGAGCCACUAAUAAUAAAUAGUAAUAUUUUAUGUGCGUUGGACUUUUCUAAUAGAAUCCAAUUUCCAUCUUGAUUGGGCUAUGUGAUUCAUCAUGUUACUGAAUCUCAAAAUUGCGUUUAUUAUAGAAGUUUUUUGCUGAUACUUUUGUGGACAAUGGAUAUAAUUAAUAGGGCCCAUAAGAAAGAAUAAUAACACGUUUUUUAUUCUUUUUUUUUUUUUUUUUUUUUAUAUAUAUAUAUAAUAUAUAUUAUAUAUUAUAUAUAUAUAUAUAUAUAUAAAUUUAUGUGAGAAUUCGAAUAAGUUGAAUUUUUGAUAGAACAAUGAUACACAAUUGUUUGGUGUUACAAAAAGAAGUUUGCAUGCAUUAAUUUGCAAUUGCAUACCUAAUACGGUAAAUGUAGUGUAUUCUACGUAGUUUCUUGAAUAGGAAACACAUGAAAUAAAUUGUGUUUGCAGUGAAAUAGUCAAUAAUGUUUAGACACCAUUAUAUAUGUAUAUAUAUAUAUAUAUAUAGGGUCAAAUUUUAACGGAGGUAAAAAUGACUACUAUUUUAUAAUACGUCGAGAAAAUGUCUUUAAGAAUUAUAAGUUAUUAACACAGACAUUUAAGUUUCCUCCACUUGCCAAAAAAAAAAAAAAAAAAAAAGAAUAAAAACGUGUUAUUAUUCUUUCUUAUGGCCCUAUAAUUAUAUCCAUUGUCCACAAAAGUAUCAGCAAAAAACUUCUAUAAUAAACGCAAUUUGAGAUUCAAGUAACAUGAUGAAUCACAUAGCCAAUCAAGAUGGAAAUUGGAUUCUAUUAGAAAAGUCCAACGCCACAAAAAUAUUACUAUUUAUUAUUAGUGCUCUUGGUAAUAAAAUUUGUUCUUUUUUCUGUUUACACUGAAUACUACUAUGUUUAUUGCACAAAUCCAUUAUAUAAAUGUAUAUUAGAGUCCGGCUACUAUACUCUUAUAAGUAACGUUCGACUUCGUACUCAUAAGUUGUUUUCGAUGAUCGAGCUUUCGAAUCGACGAUCCAUACCGUUAAACAUUAUUUAGAGCAUUUAAAACUUAUAAAAAUUAAAUUUAUAAUUUUUCGAUAUCAUUUACCCUACGAUCAAAAGCUCAUAAAAUGACAAUUUUUAACGCCGGAUGAAAUAUUUGCUAGUUUAACGGUGUAAAAGAAUUGGAAUGGGUUGAAGUUUUGAUAGAAAUUCUAUUCACUACCUAAAUAAAGAUCAAUAACUCCGAUCUUAAAUUGAAAGAUCCGAUCAUCCAUUUUUAGGAUAUUGUUCGAUUUGACCGUUUAUUUUACCCGCUUGAAUGGACUUUAUAAUGAUUCGAAAAAUACGAAGAUUAUUUUUAGAAGUUUCAAAUAUCUUAGAUCUCAUGUUUAACGGCGUGGAUCGGUUGAUUCGAAACGCCUAACAUUGAAAACACUUAUGAGUACUAAGGGUUCUAUUACUAUAAUAGUAUAGUAGCCCUACUCUCUCUCUCUCUCUCUCUCUCUAUAUAUAUAUAUAUAUAUAUAUAUAUAUAAUUGAGCUCCUAUGCUUUUAAAAAGUACAAAGUCAUUGGUGCUUGUAAGUUUUCGGCCCUUGGAUUAACAGAUGUGCGUUAGAGAUGAUGUGGGCCCCCUAGGGUUGAUGGGUGGUGGUUGAAUAGUUAUAUCUAACGGGUAAAAAUGAUCAAAGGAUAGAUCUAACGGUAAAAAUUUACAAGUACCCAAAUGCUUGGUACUUUUACAGCAUCAUAGCCGGACUCUAUUAUAUAUAUAUAUAUAUAUAUAUAUAUAUAUAUAUAUGGAGUAGAGCUAGAAUACUUGUAAAGUAUAACCCAAGUAAUACUUGUGUGUUUUUAGCCCUUGGAUGGAGAGAUUGAGGUUGAGAUGAUGGUGGUGUCGUGAUGGAGUGGGUAGGUGGAAUAGUGUUUGAUCCAAGGACUAUUAGUAAUUAAAAGUAGAUGGCUAAAACCACACAAGUAUCACUUGGUGAUACUUGUAAAAGUAUUCUAGCCCCACUAUAUAUAUAUAUAUAUAUAGUAUUAUAUAUGCAUGGAUUACUAUCAUUAAAAUGCUAUGUACGUGCACUAAUUAUACGGACAAAGUCAAAUAGGAUCGUAGAAUUCUGUGUGUCAGUGGAGAACGAGCAAUUAAUUGAGAACUUGACCAAGACCCUGAGUGAGGUUGAAUGAGGUUAAUUGAGGUUAAUUGAUAUCUUGGAUUAAUAAACUACAGUAUGGGUUAUACAACAUAUUAUGUACAUGAUCAAAAUUUCCUAUAGAGAUAUACAUAUUAUUAUUGUCAAUAGUGUCCCACAUAUGCGACCACCUGUGUAGGCUGCUGUGCUCUCAGGAGCACGGAGGCCUCCAUGCUCCUGAGCCGUUUUCGAUGAUGAAAAUUUUCGAAUCGACGAUCGGCUCCAUUAGAUUUGAUCUAGCACAUUUGAAGUUUUUAGAAUAAUAAUUUUUUGGCGAUUUUUUGAUAUCAUUUACCUAGUGAUCGAAAGGAUUCAAAAUUCAUAAUUUUUAAUGGUUGAUAUCCUGCCGUUUUCAAGUUUAACGGCUGUAGAAGUAUUCAAAUCAGUUGAAAUUUGAUACAAAAUUUUAUACUAUCUACAACAAAAUCAUAUCUGAUCGAAAUUUUAGUGCUAAUUAUCACCAUUUUUUCUAAGGAUUUUUAUUUUCAGCCGUUAAAAUUAUUGCAUUUGAAAUCCUUUCUCAAAAUUAUAAAAAAUGUCAAAUUUUUAUUAAUUCACCUAGAUUCUCUAUCCCAUUUCGAUUGUAGGUAAAUAUAUCAAAAAUCUGACAAUCUAUUUUAGAAACUUCAAAGUACGCUACGAUCAAGUCCCUAACGGAGCAAUCGCGACAUUGAAACUCCUCAUCGAAAUGCAGGAGAAUGGCUCCUGUCCUGAGAGCCAGCAGCCAACUCUAUAUAUAUUAUAUAUAUAUAAUAUAUAUAAUAUAUAUUUUCGUUUAUCGUCCAAUCUUCUAGAACACAAAUAAAUGAGAGUAUAUAUCCACUAAAAUUGCUAAUAUCCCCUUGAGGAUUUCUUGUCUCUUUUCGAGAAAUCAAAAUUCUUCAGCCAAACACUCCCGUAGGUUAUGUUUAGAUUCAAUCUAGGUCGACUACAAAGCCAUAAAAUAAGAUAAAAACAUAUGAACUAACUGAAUUUUAUGUUUAUUUGAAGUAACUAUCUAAUCUUAAAAAAAGUUGAUUUUACUACAUAAUGUUUCGAUUUAUUUUUGAUUCAUUUUCAAAUUCUUUUUUUUUUUCAUUAUUUAGGUGCAUCCACACAUAUAUUCCUACACCGAUACCCAUUUUGAAUUUAAUAUUCAAUCACCUGCAGUUUUAUAUUAAAAUAUAAAAUGGUUGGAAUAAAUCAAAAGAAAUGAAUAAAAGUAUGUGCACAAUGUUCGGGAUGAACUACGCUGGAUAAUAAUGUUUUAGAACCAAAUAAAAAAACUAAAAACAUGGAUAGUGAAAAAUCAAAAUUUCUAAGCUUGAAUAGUUAUUUUUCUUCUUUUUUUUUUUUGAGAGAGAUAGGUAACACGCUACCCGCUUCGUUUAUUUCAUUUAGAAAUAAACUUAGCUGAAAUGUGAAUAACUAGUCAACUAAGGAUUCGAACUUGGGUUUCGAAUAUCAACCACCUAAACUGUUUGCCAGUUGCUCUAGGGACAGUCGUUGAAUAGUUAUUUCAACUUACUAAAAAGUUAUUUUACUUACGUACACAUAUCGCCUCCUAGAAAGUACUAUAAUGCAUACAGAUAUAGUAAUUCAGGUACGAAAGUUGCAUCACAGUGGCAACUUCAUUUCGCUCGCAAUGAAUCGUAAUCGUCAUUAUUUCAAUAUACUACUUCUAUCUUUUNNNNNNNNNNNNNNNNNNNNNNNNNUAUAUAUAUAUAUAUAUAUAAUUUUCUAUAUAUAUAAUUCUCAGCCGUUUUUGGUAACACCAAACACUGUCGUUCAAUUUGUGAGAAUUAUAUAUAUAUAAUUCUCACAAAUUUUCUCACAUAAAUUAUAUAUAUAUAUAUAAUGAGUCUGGCUGUAGUGCUUUUAAUAACACCAAACACUUGGUGUUAUCAAAUUUUUUACUAUUAGAUCUUUCCCUUUGACUAAUAACACCCUUUAAAUCAUAUUCAUCCAUUAAAUUUCAAAGGAUCACUAUCAUCCUAACCCUUCAAAUCUUUAUCCAAAGGCCAAAAACCUACGAACAUCAAUAACUUUGUGCCGCUAGAAACAUUCUAGCCCAAUUCUAUGUAUAAUCCUAUUAUAGUGCUUCUAAUAGCACCAAACACUUUCUACUAUCAAAUUUUUCACAAUAAGAUCAGAUUUUUUUACCAAUUCCACAGCUAUAAAAACAAAUAGCGAAAUAAAAAUAAAUUUUACCAAAUGUUAAUUAUAUAAAAUUUUAUUUCAAUCUGAACUUUACCUUCGCUAAAUCAAACAUAAAAGAUGGAUGGGGUGAUCUUUCAUUAGGGAGAGUCCCCGCCAAAUCUCUUCUCGUUUUGUUUUGUUUUGUUGUUUUAAUCCUCUCUCUUAAAGGGCCAAAAUGGGCCCACGCUUCAAUGGGCCAAGGAUUCUCUGGGCCUAGUAUUAGUUGUAGAUCACCACUUCUACUACAUAUUAAUACCACUGUCGACCUCUCUUUUUCUCUCUCUCUCUCUCUCUAUCUCUCUCUCCUCUCCCUCUCUCUCCAAAACCGUGCUCUUGUUUAUGUGAGAAGGGGAGUGAACUGCUUCUUCUUCUAUUCACGAAUCGUUUAAGUUUUCGAUCUGAAACCCUUUUUUGAUUUGGAUUACUGCUUGUGAUAAUAGGGAGUGGAGAUUUUGGAGAUAAGAUUUGCGAACCCUAAGUUUUCAAUCAUUAAUUUCUUCUUUUUUCUGUUUUUUUUUUUAUUUAAUUUGUAGAAUUUGAGAGAAUAUGGCUGAUGCUGCUGCUGCUGCUGCUUAUGAAGUGGUUUACUCAGGUUUAGUACUUUUUCUCUUAAAAUUAUCGUUAUUUUUUUUAGUGAAAAUGCAAAUUAGAUAAAUUCAUUGACACUCCCUCAACAUUGAGUCAUUUCCAUCAAUUAAACUGGGGGUUUUGAUCAAAUCUCGCGGUGAUGAUAUGAAACUCUGGGACUGCGGAUUUUGCUAAUUGUCGUCUAUUUUCACUAAAUUGAAGAAUCUCUGGUUCAAUUGCGGAAAACAAUUCAAAUCAAAAACGGCUAAAACUCGCCUUAAAAUAUAAAUCUAAAACAUUUGAUGUGAUCUAGGCCACUUAAAAGGUCUACAUUUCAAAAAUUAUAAUUGCUGUUCACAUUUUUCUUGUGCGACGAAUCACAGGUUUUUUAAUAUGAUUUUUGGUCACUAUUUGAUGCCUAAUUACUAGGUUUUCGUAUGUAAGCUCUUUCGAGGUUGUAGAUCAGAUUUAACAGUUUAUGUUUAAAAUUUCGAUUUUACAGUAUCGAGCAUAGAGUUUUCAGAUCCCCAUACUUAUAUCGGAGUUGAGGGGGUCUUCGUACAUUUUUUCCUUCACUUUUCUUUUUAGGUACAAUAUAUUUGCUAACGAAAAAUUACUUCAUUUAUAGGUCUAUUAUUUAGCAGACCGCGACCAGUAGUCUCGAAUCAGCUAUCCAGCAGGGUCAAGUUCCAGUUUGUCAAGGUUCUUUAAAUUAAGAAUUACUAUUUUCCAGUAAUUUUAACAUAUUUGAGCAUUGUUUUUUUUUAUUUUUGUUUUACGGAUUAUAUCUGUUGCAUCUGCAGAUUUCACGGCCGCUAGUUCGACAAUCAUUUCCAUUAUCCAGGCUCGUAAGAUGUGCGACAGCAGGAAGAAAUGGUCGUGAAAGGUUAUUAUCUGAUGAGGGGUUUGAACAUGAGCCUUUUUGGUCAAGUCUGGUGAAGGAUGCAGUCUGGUAUUCCAUAAGUUUCUGUUCUGUCUGUAGAUUUUGUUUUUUUUUUUUUUUUAAGUUGUAUAUUUGGCAAAAUUAAUUUUUUGGCUUCUUUGUUACCUGUAGGGGGUUUAGAGCGCUUGCUGUUUUUCUAGCUGAACAGCCAAGUCAGUUGAAAUACAUAGAGUGGCCAACCUUUCAAAGCACGGUAUGUUUGUCGUGACCAGGCUGUUUGGAUGCAUGAAAAUCUUGUUCGGAAAAUUUUGUCUGUUUAGACGAGGGUCUUGCAAUAAUUGAUAGAUAGGAGUACGAUUAAAAUGUAGUCUUCAAAUGACAUAAGAUGUGCGGCAUCUAUGUCAUUUUCUCAGAAAAAGAUAAAUCCCCCUAGUACAAAUUAUCACAUGUUUCGGCAUCCAAACAAGAAAAAAAUUAAAAAAAGAGUGGAAAAAGGAAAAUUUUUCAUUGAAUUUAACACUUUUUUUGUGAAUCUUCGUAAUUUCUAGCUGAACUAUUGCUGCCUUCCUAAGAUAUAUAGUUGGUGGAUGUAAUUUCAUGUCUUUUAUGACUUCAAUAACUGAAUGCAUCUCAUACUAAAUGGCCAUAAUACCUAAAUGGGAAUGCAUCACGCGCUGUUAAAUUUAUCAGAUUUACUGCUUGUCGGUAUACAUAUACAUUGUGCACAAAGUUGCCUUAUACUAUGUCAGUAAGUAUCAUAACGUAGAGUAGAUAUAUCCAUGCAACAUUUCUAAUUCAUCAGUAGCAGCUGAUACAUUUCUGAAAUCCUUUAGGAGUGGAAAAUUUUUUGGAUUAAUUUUAGUAGAGUAAAUUUAACAUUCUAAUAUAGACACUGCUGAUUGAAGCAGAAAUCAUAGGAGGCCUCGUUUUGUAUUUCUAAUGAUAUUUUAUUUUCAAAGUUGAGUUCUGGUGAGUAACUAUUGCUGCUUCAUGCUAGAAAUCAGAACUCGUAAGAGGUGAACCUGAUUUGUCCUGGUGAUUAUGUCAGUUCACAUACAGUUAAAUAUUAUUGGAAAGAGAUGAAUUCUGAAGAUUCUAUGCUUUUUCUUGAGUUUUUUUUCUUGCUAACGAUAGCAGGAAUUUCUCUAUGUACCAUCCUUUCUCUUUUAUCUUAUCUUAGCUUUUUCGAAGUAUAAUUCUAAUCCAUAUUUAACUUUGUUGAUCUGCCUCCUUUUGUUUUCAUUGCUACGGCUUUAAACAUCUUAUAUGCUCAUGAAUUACUGGCCUGCAAAAUUCUCUUUUUCUCCUGAUUCAAUCAAACAAUUCCGGUGAUUUGCAGUUGAAGACGGCUUGCCUCACUCUUAUCCUCGUAGCGUUGCUCAUCGUAGCUUUGUGCUCUAUUGAUUCAGCCCUCUGUUACAUAUUGGCUUGGCUUCUCAGAAAAUCUGCAUAAACUGUUGGUAUUGUAUCUCCCUCAUUUAAUACUUUGUAUUGCUUAGUGAUGCUUGUAGUUAAACGUCUUGCCUGAUUAGUUUGCUUGUAGUUUUAACAAGAUAAUUACUUGUAGUGAAAACCAUAACGCAUGCAAGUUUGGAAGUAAAUUUGUUGUAAUGAAUUUUAUGUGCCUAUGGGCUGAUCGUCACUUUAUGUAUUUAAACAGGUGGUGGAUCACAAUUUCGGAGGUUGGCUUUUCAUUGUGUGGCGCCUUAGGGACUGUUCCUCAUUUUGAUGCUUUUGCUGGAUAGUGAAUAGAGCAGUUUUUUUUUUUUUUUUUUUCAAAAAAAAAGAAAAGGGAUGAUCAGAGUUCAAUGGCUCAGUAUGAUUAUGUGUUUGUUUUGUAGGAUUUAUCCGAGUUGUUAUCUGUUGGCAAAAUGGACGUUACUUUGAUUGCAAAAAGAAUGUGUAAAUGAACCUCUAUAGGAGUAAAAGGAUUUUGGAGUUUAGUCUGAUUUCUAUAUUGACCAUCUAUAUGAUGCUGCAGAACAUGAAUGGUGGAAAGUUCGGUGUAAUAAAUAUGAAUGUUUUGCGGAACAUAACAAAAUGAAAUGAAUUACAAAUGCAAAAAUGAAAAUCAACUUGCACUCUGCCCCAUCAUUAGAAUUAUCAGAAGAAAUGAGAUUGUAUAACAUUAAAGAUUAGGUAUCCAACUGUAACAAUUGAAAGAUUGGAAAAGAUUGCAGAGCAAGAUCCACGAGGAAUACACAACAAGAUCACCAGUGUAUUGUGCCGCACAAUACACCGGACUACCUAAAACUUCCCUGUGGAGUAUAAAUCAUUCUUGAAGUGAAUAUGUUAUGAUUUUGCUGAUACAUAAGUUACAGAUGAACAAUAUAAGAACAAAAUAGCGGAAGAGCAGAAUCAUUCUACAAGGGAAAUACAGAGAGCGACAAGUGUUCCUAGUAACAAAGACAUCAACUGCAUUACAGUGCUUUUGAUAGUCGUCUUUCCAUCAUUCAUUUCUGGGAGUACUCCCGCGACUGCUAUGUAAACGAAGCCACCGGCGGUAAAUCCCUGAAGCGACAGUAGGAAUUUGUGUAAUUGAAUAACUUUUAAUAGUGAAAAUUCGAAAUAUAGGCUAUAGCUAAAGAUAGAGAAUAUUUACCUCAAUUAACGAGGAGUGCCCUGGAUCUUUUCCUAAAACCAAAGCCUGCAAAAUAGAAAAAAGAAAAAGAAAAAGGAACGCGCUACCUGCGUUGUUAUAUAUAUUUUUUAAAAUCAUUAGAGCGAGAAAUAAAUGGAAGUAGAUAACUCACUAGUGCAGUCCCAGCCAAUGCCACCAGUGCAGAAAGAAAAUUGAGAAACAGAGCUUUGGAGACCGUGAAUCCUGACCGCACCAAGAUUCCGAAAUCACCAACCUAGCCAAAAGGGCAAGUUAAUAACACCAAAUAGAUUAGCCCUUCCAUGUUACUCUCAUUACUGUACUAUUAUUGCAAGAUUUAUCUAAUAGAGUAUUAGUAAUACAAUUCAAGAUGACUGAAAUGAAAUGAAAUUUUGCACUAAAAGCAAGCACAAGAAACAUUUGCUACGAACAACUUGCUCAAGUUUUCAGAGAAGUGGUGGAGAAAAUAACCUCUUGAGGAAGUUCAUGAGCUAGCAGAAACAAUGUUCUAGACCACCCUCCAACCGAACCAUGCAGUAAAAAAGCGCUUCCCAGAGCCAUACCAUCGGUAAAAUUAUGCUGCAUUAUUCACACAUUUGAUCUCUGAAUUUUCAGAACAAUAUUGUAAACCUAAAAAUUCUGAAUGUUCAAUAUCACGCAAUAAAUCAUCACUCAACAAAGUAAGAAAAAUUUACGAUCAGCACUCACCACACCAUCAGAGAAAAGAUUAAGAUAGCCAAACACCAAGUUUGAGUGUGAAGAGUGAAGAUCUUUCUCAUGCUGUAAUGGCUUCUCCAUGGCAGUAGCAUUUGGAGCAUUUACAACUUCUCCAUCAGUUAUGUUGCCACCUCCAGAAGUGCUUCUCUGUUUUGAUGCUCGGAAAAAAGGGAAAAAAAACCUCAUCGUCAGAGUGAUUUGUCAGAUAUUAAACUCCUAAAAUCAAUUAAAAAAUAUAUGUUUUUGUCAUCAAGUGUAUGCAUGUAGGAACUAGACAGCAUAUCACAGCAUGCAUAUAGGAAAUAGACAACAUAUCAUAUUGAUGCGCUAAUUUCGGGUUUUUUGUAUAUCAUAAAGGGGGUAGAAAAAUGCUGCGUCAUAAUUGAGAACAGUUUCACGUGCAAAUCUGGGAUGUACCUUACGCAGAAGGGCUUUGUGUUCAGUAAGAUUGCCAUCAUUAACUUGUUCAUCAGCUUCAUCAACUGAAGCUUUUUGUGAUUGUGCAUCACCUAUGUCCCUAGUCUUGUCAUCAGUAUGCUUGGAAUUGAACUCAUCAUUGUUGUCAUCAUCAUCAUCGACUUUGUUGUGGUGUUUAUGGUGGUGGUGGUGGUGGUGGUGUCCAUGACUCAAAUGACUGGUCCCCUUUCUAGAAUUAUCUUCAACAUACCUUACAACCUUCUCAACAAGGAAAAAAAGUACAAUCCCAACUGCAAAAUGAAGGUUUAAAAUAGGAAACACGAUGAUUUUUUUCUUUUUCUUUUUUGAAGGGGAAACAAUGAAACUGUUACAAUGUAUAAUCAAGUAGAUCAUACAAGUAGUUAUCCAAUGGCAGAUAAUUGCAAAAAAGAAAAAAGAAAAAAAAAACUUUUUUGAAAUUUAACGAGUGAUGAAACAAGUGAUUCUUAUCACUGGUCAAAUUAAAAUUUAACAAGAUGGACAAAAGCAAAGAGAAGUAUAAUUAGCAUUGAUUUGGAAAGCUUCCCGUAUUUAACAGACAUGGAAGUGAUCCUUCUACAAUGGAACAAAACAAGCAUAGGAGGAAAAAUAGCAGCCGCAUGCUAACGUUCUCAUCGCUAAGGUACAUAAGCUACUGUUAGGCCUAGGCAGAGCUUCUGCAGAAGUGAUUUCUGUGUACAGUUGUUGGAAGAAAUACAAAAGAAGUAUAAUUGAUAGAGGCUCAGAAAUUCACUUUGGUUUUGACAGGAGGAAGUAUGGCCUUUUUGUUGUCAGAUACACAGCUCAUGCCUCUCGAAUGGUCACAGCAGUACCAAUACAAAUUCACUAAUCUAUGAACUAUAUGAACCUGAAGCUACAAAAGCUAAUUCUUAAACUCAUAUAAUUAUCACUACAAAACUUCAGCAGUAGUAUAUCUUGUACUUAGUGGCAUGCAAAGACAACAUAUACAAUCAUGAUCAAUUUAUGAUCAAACAUAGAUAAGCAUCACCAUUUAGGAUAAAUACCAUGAGGGUUCUAAGAUUGUAUGUUUGUUAACAAGCAAACUGCAAUAGUGAAAAAUCAAUCGCCUGCAUAGAGAUUUGUACCAGUUUAUAGCAAUUCAUUUUUAGGAUGUGAAGCGAGCUUCGUCAUUCAGAAUGUAUGAGCUCCAAAUGGUAACCUAAAUUAUUUUCCUUAAAGUGCCUUCAGAUAAUUAUAAUUGGACUUGAACUGAAGAAAGAAAGCUAAUAACCUAAAGUUUUAAAUGAAAUGCAGGAGACUUGUGAGGCCAGAAUAAAACCAAUUAUGAUUGAAAAGACAAAUACCAAGGAACAAGUACACAGUUCCAAGAUACUCACACAAAAUAGAUAAACCAAUAGAAAGAUCUUGUAAAGAAUGAGCAUGCGAGUGUCCGUGAUCAUGCUGAUGAUCAUGAUUGUCAUGCGAAUGAGAAUGCCCCCCACCUGAAAAAUGUCAAAAGAGCAGAUUAGGGGACAAUAAAGUACAUGCAGUAGAUCAACAUAUAUUAAGCACAAGCUGCAUGAAGAUACAUAUCUUUAUAUCAAGUAGAUUACGAGCAACAAAAAAAAAAAUAACGGGAAAGCAAUGAGGUAUAAUUAGUUGCCCAUCAUCCUUUCAUCCAUCCCUAUAACACUACAUCAAAGAGCAGCAGAAGCAACGAAUCUAUGCCAUGAAUGGUUAAUGUAAUACAAUAUGUUUGCUAAAUUUGAGGUAAAUUGAAAAAAAAGAAAAAAAGUCAAAGAACGCGUGAUAUAUAAAGUAACUAUGUAUCAUACCAAAUGCGUGUGGCAAUUGAUGAAGAAAAGCAUCCCCAAGCAUUGCCCCUGCCUGCAACCAAAUUGUCAAUCAAAAUGAGCGAACUAAUAAACCUCAAGCUCAUGGAUAUUUUUUAAAAAAUCGACGCAUCCAGUGUAGAAUAAUUUAAAAGCAGGCAUCACUACAAACUGAAUAGAUAUAAUUAAAUGUGCACUUACAAACUGAACCAACAAUUGAGUCAAGUAAGCAGAAAUGAUUUGGUUCAUAUUUUGGCUCAUUCUGUACUAAUUCACCUUAAAGCUAUUGGAUUUUGAUACCGAAAUUACGUUGUAAAACACUACAAGAGCAAGAUUCAAACUUGAAUUGGCCGAGGAUGAAUAAUCUUCACUAUGUAAAUUGUUUACAUCAACAAAAUUACAAAAGUGCUCUCCAGGAGUGAAAAAAAAAAAAAAAGGACUUUUAAAUUAUCUAGAAUUUCAACUGGGUACUCUUCCAAGAUAUCAACUAACACAGCAAAAGAGCUCUUCUAUAUCUAUAAUAUAACUUAAAACCCAUCCAAAGUUACUGUGGUAUUCAAUUUUCAUUAUUUUCAGCAGCUGUUCCAAAUAAUUGGCUUACCCCAAACAACGCCAAAGAAUCGACGACGCCCUUGGACGGCUUUCCCUGAACUGUAACAAAUCAAAAUUCCAAACAAUUGGAUAAUGCAUUAGCUAGAAGAAGAGGAGGAGGAAGAGGAGGAGCACAUAGAUUGAGUUAAAAUCACCUACAGAAGAUCAAAGGAAGGAGAAUGAGGCAAAUAAGCGACGCCAUGCUAACGAGAAGCGAGCACCCCAUUGCGCUUAACCAAACACCUUUAUCCCGUUCCCACCAAAAAAAAAAAAAAAAAAACCAACAAGAGCCAAUACUUCAAACCCCAAUUCCAACACAAUUAUAGAAAGAUCGCAUCUCUGACGAGGAAUUCACCUAAAGGAGAUGUCUCAGCAUCGAGAUCCCCGUGCGAGUGGUAAUGAUGAUGGUGAUGAUCGUCAUCCUGAUCGUGAUGGUGGUGAUGGUGAUUGUGCCCUAAUCCGUCGCGCAUCAGAUCCUCCUCCUCCGCGAGCUCUUCCGGAAGCUUCUGGCGCCGGAUCUCGGCAUCUUGAUCAUGGUGGUGGUGGUGGUGAUCGUCGUGGUGGUGAUGGUGAUCGAAUCCGGCGGGGGCGGAGAAGGGGCAAGCCCCCGAGUCCUCCGUGUGCGCGGCGACGACGACAGAAGCGGCGGCGGCGACGAGCAGGAGAAGGACGGGGCGGCCCCGCCGCGGCGGAGGCGAGGAGAGAGGCAUGCUUAAUGCGGUUACGGUUUAGGGUUAGGGUUAGGGUUAGGGUUAGGGUUAGGAGGAGGAGGAGCGUUUGCAAACGCCCUCGAGAGUAAUGAAGAGGACGAGGAGGAAGAGGAGGACGACGAUGCCCACGAUCACGCCGAAGGUGACCACAUCCAUCUUAAUCUCACCUCAUUUAUUAUUUAUUAUUUAUUAUUUAUUAUUAUUUUUAUAAUAAUUUACUUAUAUUUCGUUAUUAUUUAUCAUCUCUAAAAAAUUACUUAUACUUAUAUAUUUCCACAAACAAAUAUAUAAAGGAAAAAUGGCCCAAAAAUAGAUUACUAAAUUUUCCGUACGUUUUUUCUCUGUCACGCUCAGAUUUGAGAGAGAGAGAGAGAGAGAGAGAGAGAGAGAGUACUCUUGUUCGGAAACGCGAGAGAGAGAGUGAGAGAAGAUUCCUUGGAGUUCGUGAGAGUAGAUGUUGGGGUGGAGUUACCGCUCACCGGGGAGUGAGGUGAAACCCCUUCGUUAUCGGAAACGGGGACAACGAGCCCUAGUUUCUCUCCCUCUGUGUCUCGGCGGAGUACGGAGUUGGGAUCUGCUACAAGUUUGGCUGUUUAAAAAGAUACGUAUAACCCCCCAAAAAGAGGCUUAACUACACCCUCCUAAUUUAGUAUCAUAUGAUUUCAUUUUUCUCUAUUUAUUAGCUGUUUCAUUAAUAUUUCGUUAAAUUAUAUACAAAAAUUUUAAAUAUCCUAUCUAAAUUUAUCAAAUAUUCACUUUAAUACCUUUUAGUAGGAGGGGAUAAUAAAAAGAGAAAAAUAAAACCACAUCAUACUAAAUUAAUACACUUUAAAACAUA